CCUUAAAGGUAAUUUUAACCUAUCCUAUUUGGCGGCCUUCUAUCUAAUUAAAGGAACUUGUUGUUUAACCGAUGAUACGCGUUACGUUUAACUUAAACCUAAUUUUUAUACCUCCGUCCAAAGGAUAAAAUUAAAUAUUUUAUCCUAUCCAUACUCCUUCAAGUAACAAUGUCAGGUCAAGGUGAAGUUUAUGUUUAAGUUUCAAUGAGUUAUCAAUAAAUAUAAUUUAUGGACUUUUGCUAAAAACCAAAAAUCGAAUUAAGAUUCAAAAGUAUUUUCAACUCAGUACACUAAAAAGAAUAAGCAAAAAAGGUGUACAUAUCGCCCGUCGCCCUCGUCUAAAGAUGAGGUAAGUCGUAACACAGUUAAUAUACUGGAAAGUGUAUUAGGUGUAUUUCUUCUUAACUUUUAGUAUUUCACUUACACUGAAAAGAUCUCAUUUUCUUCCAUUCCAAUUAAUAAAUAAAAUCUUUGCAUUUUACCUAUCUAAUUUAAACCUUCAAAAACUGAAAAGGAUCAUCAUAAUAUUUUUAAAGUAAAUCUAUGUACCUUUUGUAUCAGGGAUUUUCAAAUCAUAUUGUAUAUUUCAAACUCCCGAAACAAGACGAACUUCAUAUCCUAGUAAAAGUUAUGACAUAAACAAUAUAAGUUUUAUAAAGUUGAGAUAUUCUUUUCAAGUCUUUCCUUAUCUGGUUCACUCCCCCCCCACAAAACAAUACAAAGAAUAAGCUUAGUAUCAAGGUUUAUCACCUCCCCUUCUCUUUAACCUAGAUUUAAUAGUAUUCACAUUGUUUUUAAACUCUACCUUUUCAUUACCUGAACAAAUCCCUAAGUGAUUUUUCUUCUCCCCUUACAAUGAAAAUAUUAGUAAAAUUUCCUCUUUUCUCAUUCUUUAAACCCUUUCCCCCCACGUUUUCCACAUUGAAACCAUGAACUAGGCCCUCAAUCAAUUGACUGUUUACCAAAAACAUAGCUAAUAGAUUUCAAUUACUAGUAGUACCUGCUCCA
This 1008-nucleotide ribosomal RNA is filed under the name Calisoga sp. F DHL-215. RNAcentral describes it as "partial 12S ribosomal RNA". Lineage: Eukaryota; Metazoa; Arthropoda; Arachnida; Araneae; Nemesiidae. The record is from RNAcentral.